GCUCAGGAUGAACGCUAGCUACAGGCUUAACACAUGCAAGUCGAGGGGUAGCAGGGUAGCAAUACCGCUGACGACCGGCGCACGGGUGAGUAACACGUAUCCAACCUUCCCAUAACUCGGGGAUAGCCUUUCGAAAGAAAGAUUAAUACCCGAUAGUACUUAUAUAAGGCAUCUUAAAUAAGUUAAAGAUUUAUUGGUUAUGGAUGGGGAUGCGUUCCAUUAGAUAGUUGGUGAGGUAACGGCUCACCAAGUCUUCGAUGGAUAGGGGUUCUGAGAGGAAGGUCCCCCACAUUGGUACUGAGACACGGACCAAACUCCUACGGGAGGCAGCAGUGAGGAAUAUUGGUCAAUGGGCG
This 356-nucleotide ribosomal RNA is filed under the name uncultured Bacteroidales bacterium. Its description in RNAcentral is "bacterial SSU rRNA". It matches the Rfam family "Bacterial small subunit ribosomal RNA", at positions 22 to 377 of the family's 1533-position model. Lineage: Bacteria; Pseudomonadati; Bacteroidota; Bacteroidia; Bacteroidales. The record is from RNAcentral.